RNAcentral lists this ribosomal RNA (292 nucleotides) under uncultured bacterium. RNAcentral's name for it is "partial 16S ribosomal RNA". The record is from RNAcentral.
GGACUACCGGGGUUUCUAAUCCUGUUUGCUCCCCACGCUUUCGCACCUCAGCGUCAGUACCGAUCCAGUGAGCCGCCUUCGCCACUGGUGUUCUUCCUAAUAUCUACGAAUUUCACCUCUACACUAGGAAUUCCACUCACCUCUAUCGGACUCAAGAAUGGUUGUAUCAAAGGCAGUUCCAGAGUUGAGCUCUGGGAUUUCACCUCUGACUGACCAUCCCGCCUACGUGCGCUUUACGCCCAGUAAUUCCGAACAACGCUAGUCCCCUUCGUAUUACCGCGGCUGCUGGCAC